RNAcentral lists this ribosomal RNA (253 nucleotides) under uncultured bacterium. RNAcentral's name for it is "partial 16S ribosomal RNA". It matches the Rfam family "Bacterial small subunit ribosomal RNA", at positions 524 to 776 of the family's 1533-position model. The record is from RNAcentral.
UACGGAGGGUGCAAGCGUUGUUCGGAUUUAUUGGGCGUAAAGCGCGUGUAGGCGGUUUCUUAAGUCUGAUGUGAAAGCCCUGGGCUCAACCCAGGAAGUGCAUUGGAUACUGGAAGACUUGAAUACGGGAGAGGGUAGUGGAAUUCCUAGUGUAGGAGUGAAAUCCGUAGAUAUUAGGAGGAACACCGGUGGCGAAGGCGGCUACCUGGACCGAUAUUGACGCUGAGACGCGAAAGCGUGGGGAGCAAACAGG